CUGAUCUGCCUACCAUGCAGUCGAGCGGUAGCACGGGGAGCUUGCUCCUGGGUGACGAGCGGCGGACGGGUGAGUAAUGUCUGGGGAUCUGCCUGAUGGAGGGGGAUAACUACUGGAAACGGUAGCUAAUACCGCAUAACGUCGCAAGACCAAAGAGGGGGACCUUCGGGCCUCUUGCCAUCAGAUGAACCCAGAUGGGAUUAGCUAGUAGGUGGGGUAAUGGCUCACCUAGGCGACGAUCCCUAGCUGGUCUGAGAGGAUGACCAGCCACACUGGAACUGAGACACGGUCCAGACUCCUACGGGAGGCAGCAGUGGGGAAUAUUGCACAAUGGGCGCAAGCCUGAUGCAGCCAUGCCGCGUGUAUGAAGAAGGCCUUCGGGUUGUAAAGUACUUUCAGCGAGGAGGAAGGCAUUAAGGUUAAUAACCUUGGUGAUUGACGUUACUCGCAGAAGAAGCACCGGCUAACUCCGUGCCAGCAGCCGCGGUAAUACGGAGGGUGCAAGCGUUAAUCGGAAUUACUGGGCGUAAAGCGCACGCAGGCGGUUUGUUAAGUCGGAUGUGAAAUCCCCGGGCUCAACCUGGGAACUGCAUUCGAAACUGGCAAGCUUGAGUCUUGUAGAGGGGGGUAGAAUUCCAGGUGUAGCGGUGAAAUGCGUAGAGAUCUGGAGGAAUACCGGUGGCGAAGGCGGCCCCCUGGACAAAGACUGACGCUCAGGUGCGAAAGCGUGGGGAGCAAACAGGAUUAGAUACCCUGGUAGUCCACGCCGUAAACGAUGUCGACUUGGAGGUUGUGCCCUUGAGGCGUGGCUUCCGGAGCUAACGCGUUAAGUCGACCGCCUGGGGAGUACGGCCGCAAGGUUAAAACUCAAAUGAAUUGACGGGGGCCCGCACAAGCGGUGGAGCAUGUGGUUUAAUUUGAUGCAACGCGAAG
Molecule: ribosomal RNA, 933 nt
Filed under: Cedecea neteri
Lineage: Bacteria; Pseudomonadati; Pseudomonadota; Gammaproteobacteria; Enterobacterales; Enterobacteriaceae
Description: bacterial SSU rRNA
Rfam family: Bacterial small subunit ribosomal RNA
Source: RNAcentral